AGAGCAGAGCAUUCUUCGU
Molecule: microRNA, 19 nt
Filed under: Drosophila pseudoobscura pseudoobscura
Lineage: Eukaryota; Metazoa; Arthropoda; Insecta; Diptera; Drosophilidae
Description: mir-2522b-RB
Source: RNAcentral